CAUCUCUUUCAAUUGUUUUAGGCUUUGCGUGAUCCAUACUUCAAAGGUCUUGCCAGGGUUGAAAGAGAACCAUCCUGUCAGCCAAUCAGAAAAGUGGAAUUUGACUUUGAGCACAAAAGAAUGUCAAAGGAAGAGAUAAGAGAGUUGAUAUUCCGAGAGAUACUGGAAUAUCACCCACAACUGCUAAGUAGCUACAUUAAUGGCACAGAGAGGACAACCUUUCUCUACCCAAGUGCCGUUGAUCAAUUUAAGAAGCAGUUUUCUCAUCUUGAAGAGAGUGGUGGUAACGGCCCAUCAGUUCCAACAGACAGGAAACAUGCAUCCCUUCCCAGGACCACUGUGGUUCACUCAAAUCCAAUUCCUGCCAAGGAACAACCUCUUGCCGUGUCAUCAAGGGUUAGACCAGUCUCUGAUGAUUCGUGUAAGAAUCCUUGGGAGAAAGCAAGUGGUCCUGGAAAUGUUACCAGGACAUCUCUGACUUUACAAGGGCUGCAAGCACAAGCAGGAUCAGUAAGAGUUAAUGGUCCAGUGACAGAUUCAAGGUAUUCUGCUCACUAA
RNA transcript from Zea mays, 558 nucleotides. It is a transcript of the gene named mitogen-activated protein kinase pseudogene, with no coding region annotated. The record is from RefSeq and is marked validated. The transcript has 4 exons. NCBI's taxonomy places the organism in Eukaryota, Viridiplantae, Streptophyta, Magnoliopsida, Poales, Poaceae.